RNAcentral lists this small RNA (388 nucleotides) under Pan troglodytes (chimpanzee). RNAcentral's name for it is "retained intron". Lineage: Eukaryota; Metazoa; Chordata; Mammalia; Primates; Hominidae. The record is from RNAcentral.
ACAGCACCCUGUUUAUGGGUAUCCUCAUUAAGGGCUUGGCGAAACUGAAGAAGAUCCCAGAAACAGUUAAGGCAAUCAUAGAGCGCUUGGAGCAGGAGUUGAAGCAAAUUGUGAAGAGGUCUACAACCCAGGUGGCAGACAGUGGCUAUCAACGGGGGGAGAACGUUACUGUGGAGAAUCAACCAAGGUUGCUUCUAGAACUGCUGGAGUUACUGUUUGACAAGUUUAAUGCUGUAGCCGCUGCACACUCUGUGGUCCUGGGAUACCUGCAGGACACUGUAGUGACUCCACUGACUCAGCAGGAAGAUAUCAAACUGUAUGAUAUGGCAGAUGUAUGGGUGAAGAUCCAAGAUGUUCUACAGGUAAGAGCCUUUUACAAAGGGUGUCA